Paramacrobiotus metropolitanus is the source of this 5255-nucleotide long non-coding RNA. RefSeq lists it as uncharacterized. Lineage: Eukaryota; Metazoa; Tardigrada; Eutardigrada; Parachela; Macrobiotidae. The transcript has 5 exons. The record is from RefSeq and is a predicted model, not a curated record.
UUACAAUUUACUGCAAAUACGAGUACACUGUUGGUAAUUGAAUAAAAUCCGUACCAUCUUUACCCUGAGCGGCGUGGUAAAAUGAAUAUCUUCCAACCGCCACGCUUAGUGAGACCGAUUUGGGAGUUUUGGAUACCAAUAUCCUGCUGAAUCUUGUAGAAAACACCUUAAAAUCUUGUGCCGACACGGCAUUACUAACAACAUUAACAGCACUCGCCCACGUUAACCAGGCCACUCUUUGUGUAUCAAACGCUGUAAAACAGGAGACCGAGAAAAUCAACGGGAAUCUUCAGCGACGCACUCCAAAUAAAUUGUCCAGCGCGAGAGUUAAGGCCAUGGCUAUUUUGGCUUUAAUGCUAAAAUGGCAUUUUCCGUAAAAACUCAGACAUACUAAAUGAAGACUGCUCUAUUGCUUGGAAGAAAGUUCAAACCUAUAAAAUCAGUGGAAUUCGAAAUAUGAAUUUUUGAAUUAAGCGACCCAAAGUGGUCGACAUUGCAUCUAAUGACUGGCUCGGCUUACCAUUACGCGAGUAUAUGCAAGCUAGCGAAUAUGUAAUAUAAAGUCAAUGGAACUAAUAUGGAAGCAUAAAUUGCGGUCCACAUCUUUUGUCUUACCGAGCCAUAAAACAUCGCUGGACAUCGGUAGAAUGAAAGCAAACACAGAAAGACAAUAGGUUUUGAUCACACGCAAGUGUGAUUGCAGUGGUCACUCGGCUGUCUGGAUGGUCUUUGUGGCGGGAUGCAUGUGAUCUGCCGAAUUUGACCAAUGGGACAUUGUAUCUCCUGCAAGACGUACCUAGUGUACACGAGGUUUCCUUAAAGGUUGACAACUAUCUCAUUUGGCUAACGGUGUUAAUGGAAUGGAGAAUGCGCCAGUGGUAUCCUCUGCACAAAGUGGAUGUUGUUGUUAUUCACAAACGAUAAAAUAGACAAGAUUCCCCGGGAAAGGGAAUCUGUCCAUUAUUGGCUAGCGGCGCAACCUAAGCCCGCCCGCUUGGAGAUUGGCCAGCGGUCAAUGUCUGGAUGAGGUAUAUAAGCAACUCACUGCACACAGUGCAUAAUCAUUGCUCCUACCUUCGCAGUUAGCAAAAUUUUUGUUAGCAAUUUAGCAAAUUAGCCUGCUACUAGCAGAUACUUAGCUUUUAGAUCGUCAGCCUUUAGAACGUUCUGUGACCUUUUUUAAUAAUAACCGCCAACGGUCUUCAUAAUGGUCUCGAAGAACGAACUGAAGAAGUUGAAGGUUCCACAGCUCAAGCAGGCAUGCCGUGAUGCUGGUCUAGAUGAUACCGGCGUCAGGAAAGUCUUGUUGCCACGUUUGUAUAACCACAACGACAUCCCGCCAUCACGCAUGGAAGGCGCUGUGGAUGCCAACGGCGCCAUCGCACCGACUGACCAUCCUGUUGGACCUCCAGCAGGAAUAGCUGCCGCCGGACCAUUAGCCGAGCUGAUUACCGUAUGCGGCCUGGCUCCAGCCACCCUGCUUGAUUUGGAGGAAGCUGGCUUCACCAACCUGGACAAACUUCUCCGCCUUCAUCAAAGUAAGUCCUAUCCGAAAGAUCUCGAUUUCAUCCAGCUUUCUGCCGAUCGCAACGAGAUUCAGAUCUUCAUCAAUCACCGAGCACCGCUUGCCGUUUCCGAUCUCCGCCAACUGCUGCGCUCCCGUAACAGCAAUGCCGAGAACGCCGGAUCCGCGCAAGCCAAUGUCCCGGUCGCCAAUAGCAACAACGGUCAGCAUGCAUAGGCCGCCGGCAGCAGCCGUGGCAGGGCCCGUUCCCGCGGUUAACGUUCACGCCAUAGCCACGGCCGCCACUAUUCUAACAACUACAACUCGGGUGAGUCCUCUAAUAAUAUUUGCAAUAUUUAGAAUUUCUGGCUAUACGACGGCGUGGUUACGACGAUAAGAGGCAGUUUUGAAAUUUGACGAAGAAUUUCGUGAAAUGGCCAUUCAUGAUGAUCUCAGUCUCUCUGAUUCACAUGAACGAUCGGCUUUAAGCGAUAAAUACUUUCAUGCGAAGACGCGUCGCGGUGAUUACGAUGUUGAUCGGAAAAUACAGAAGAAGCGUCCGCUUUUUCGUGGGAAUGCCGGCAAUCAACGCGCCGGCACAAUCCGCUAUAAGUUUACUUGCUGCUAUAAUUGGCAGGAAAAUAAAUGUUACAGCCACGCCACGUGCGGCUUUGCUCACAUCUGUGGUCACUGCGGAGGCGACCACCAAGGCGCCAGCUGCAAUUCCACAGCGACCAGAGGAGACAGAACACGCACUGAUUGCUCACUCAUGUGCGACUAUCUUCCUUCUUCCACUUGUUUUUCUCAUGUUCAUAAUAGUAGUAAAUAGCUCCCCGCUGAGCGCCGACUGCAGUUGUCCACUACAGUCUGGAUGUCCAGCGGGGAACUCCAAGGGAUGACUGCAGUUAGCGGGUACAAGGGAACACUCUCAAGAUUAAACUGCACUGUUUACUACAGCGCAACUGUAUUUCACUAUUAGCUAUAGAGCAAUAAUAAAUUACAGCGUAACUGUACAACUUUAUAAUAAUUUUUCAACAUUAUCAAUUACUUGAUAUUAUAAUUACCAUAAUAAUAUAUCUUCACAUAAACUUACCAGCAAACCGUUUCAAUAGAAAAAAUAAAAAAGACAAGUACAUAGCAGUAAAAAUUAUUUUUCAACGAGCGAUAAAAAGGAAAAAGAUAAUUAACCAUGGCAUCUAUCUAAUUAGUACUUAAGAACAACCAUUCAUCAUAUAUGCAAUUAGGAAUAAAAUAAUAAUUAUCUGUUACACAAUAAUUAGAAACAAAUGCUGAUAAUGAUGAUGAAACCGCUAAUAAUUUGCUAGCUCAUCGAUAUCGGACGUAAUAAAUGAUGACAACACAGAAGAGCCGCCUUCGCUGCGGGUUUCAUAAUCCAUCGUGUCACUUGCACGACCGUCCACUGGUCCAGCUUUGCCUAUGAAAUUUGAUUUGGAUUAUUUUAUGUCACGCACCAGAUUUAAAUGUUGGAAAAAAUUAAUAACAAAAUCACGUGCGCGCUGAUGAGACAUUUGCAGCAACUAUGGAUAUUUCAGCCUUCACUGCAUCCAAAAAACUACUUUUCCAAUUACUGUCUGACGCAGACUCUUCGAGGAAGCGAUCGGAUAACAACUUCCCGCUAAUUUGCAUCUGUUGACUGUAACGCUUCAGAUGAUAUUUACCUGCAAGGAAAACACUGCGGAUUAUCCAAAACACAACAUGGAAAUAUAGCAUUUACCAUUAUCCAUAUUUCGAAGCAGUUUAUCCAGUUCAACUAACUGGCGCAACAGGUCACGCUCAUCAUCAGGUUGCUCUUUAUAGUAGCACGCAAUGCUGGCCAUGGACUCCAGUCUUUCGAAUAGCGGUUCAAAGUUUUCAGUAGCGCGAACAGCGUAAUGCUCGUCGGUUAGAGCUUUCGUAUCAUCUCGCAUGAAUACACCAUUCUUUAACUGGCGUUCCUCGUUGCUGGUGAAGAAGAAUACUUCUUCAGCUCUCUGGUUUGUCCUUACAAGGUUGGCCGUUUGCCUGUCCAGCUUUCUAUCGUAAUUGCGGAUUUGCUCUGUCCAGUGACGUCCGGUUGGAAUUGUUUGGGGAGCAACAAGAUCCAGCAGUUUGACUACGGUAGCUUCUCGACUUUUUUGCAUCAUUCUGGCACAGGCAAGCAUGCUCUCCAGUUUCACAGCAAUUUCAUCAUACAGGUACUGUUGCUGAUGGUAGAAUUCUGCGUUGUACAUUGCCUUUUCAAGGUACUUGUUAGCACAGUCGAUCUACAAAAAACGCUUAAAAGUAAGCAGGCAACAAGAACGGUUGUUAACGCAAACUUACUGUGGCUUUACGACAUGCUUUAGGCUUCUGGCAAAAUUAUUUGGUCACAUCUAACAAUGUCCAAUGUGACACUUUUUCAGACCAAGGCGCGGAUUCCCAGCGUUUAAGAAAGGGGUGCAUUUCCGGAACGACCACUGCUUUCUUUGUUCUGAAAAAUAAAAUGCAAACCAUAUGAUACACAAGGAUUUACGUAAAAUUUAAUUAUUAUUUCUGAAACAAUUUGCUGAGAAAUUUUACUCAGAUAAACGCACAAUGUUUCUACCAUUACAUACAACAUUAUUAGAAAUGAAGCAGUGUUUCUCGCGAUAAGUAAGAAUGUGCUUGCAGCAUAUAACAGUGUAAGCUCAACCAAACUCAUAUCGAAAAACAACCCACUUAUAUUUGCUGACUAGGAUUAUACAAGCAAACUCCAAGGUACACAAUAUGCUUGAAAAUCCAUUUUAACACACCUGGCGUUCGACUGUUCUUUCGCAUUGUCGAACGCAAGGUGUGUUAAAAAAGAAAUUCUCGCCUCAGGUGACCUUUCUUGCAACGGACUACAGUUCCUGACAGUCAAUGUCUCUGUCAAGAAGCUGCAAGUACGUUCAAGGAAAGCACUGGUCUGAAUGAACAACUGAAUGGCUAAAUAGUUUCUGCUGUGCGCAUAUAUAGCUUUUCUUGCCUAGAAAGGCUGGUACUGUUAUGCUGCGGCACUUCGCCAUUCCGCCAGUCUGCUGCAGACAGAGUAACAGAUGUUUAUGUGCCUAGAAAACAGCAAACUCAGUGGCAAAGUUGGCCACUACGUCAAGUGUCCAAGUGGUAGUGUCUGAGUGUCCGAGUGUCAUAAUGUCAGAGUGUCGAAACUGCUCCGUGUAAAUAAAAUAGUCAAAGACGGCUCAGCAGAAGCGCCAUUUGAGAUUUUCACCCGAGAGCAUUCUUUUUGUAUGGACGUAAACGGAAUGUUUCCUGCUCGUAAGUUCCGCAAACGUUGGGAAAGCGACGUUGCCAAUGGAGCGAACGUCACCGACAGCCCCAAGGAAGUAAACGAUGUCGAAAGCGGAAAGGAACUCAAAGACAGUGGCACCACAGAAAGAGAAUCCGAUGAAGACUCGGAUAUCGAAUAAUGCGACUGCAGCGAAUGCACCAGCAGCAAGAAGCAAAAGCUAUCCCCCUGAAAAUCCACCCUCUGUCCAACGCCGGUCUAAGGAAACAUCUUCGUAAGCUCCUGGAAGGCUUCAUCGAUAUCCUCCAUGCUUUUAGCGCCUAAAAUGUUGCAUUUUCCGCUGUUAAAGAUUACUGCUGUGGCUUUUGGCAAUCGUACUGUCAUUCCAGGAAACAGCUCUGGCUCGUAAAAUUUCUUAUAUGUCAAAUAGUUAAUAUUGUCCAGUCUUUGCUUCUUGAACCGGCAUUUUCCAACAAUGUUAACAACCUGAAAAUCUGUUAUUUUGGC